Neodiprion fabricii is the source of this 1835-nucleotide long non-coding RNA. RefSeq lists it as uncharacterized. The record is from RefSeq and is a predicted model, not a curated record. The transcript has 3 exons. NCBI's taxonomy places the organism in Eukaryota, Metazoa, Arthropoda, Insecta, Hymenoptera, Diprionidae.
CUUUUAACACAAUGACAUACUGACUGUGAAGAAACAUAGUUUUUUAAUCUUUUUAAUUAAUGACUACCAACUAUUAACUCCCACAUAUAAAAUAACUUGAAGAUUGACAUAGUCUACCGUCACUCAAAAGAACGCUGUUUCCACCAACUGUAAUUGUGAAUUCGACUACAUCUUAGUCCACUUACUUAAUUCAAAAGGACUGAAAACGAAAAUAUGCAGCUUAUUCGAGGUUCCCGCCACAACGAAUUGCCAGAAAAUGGAAGACAUACUCACCACCUAGAAGCUGCACAUGAUCUAUCUAUUUAUUCUUAAGGCGCAAAACCGGUUCAGCGCUUAUCAGCUCGACAGUUGUCGCCUCGUAAAAAUGCUGCAGUGAGCCACAAUCUUCUGGCCGUUCAUAACUGGUAAUCGAGGAGCCCAAACACUUUGGAAAACGUGGAUUCUUCAAAUCGUAACGUAUACAUACAUUACUUGAGUCGCAAUCGUGACUAUGUCGUAUCGUUCUAGCAUUUACAGCAGUCAAUAGCUAAACGAUUUGGAUAUCGGUAAAUGAAAACAGCUCAAUAUAAAUGACAACUUUUAAUAUUCCAGAAUAGGAGUUACCUUUUUCAAUCUUCUAUCUUAGAUUGAAUUUGUCAAAUCGAUACAGUUCAGUCGGAUAUUCAAAAUCAGUAAUCUUACGUCGACUCCACGUACUAGAAUUUUCUAUUCCUUUUUGAAGUGUCGUUAUUAAUUAUUGGCUAUUGACAUGUGUUUUAAAAUCAGCACUUUUUUUAAACCAUGAUAGCAUUAAUACGAAUGGACAAUUUUCAUUACGCGUAUUCGCAAUAUUGUUAUUCAUUUAUGUAUGUGAGAGGGAUUUCAUGCCGUUGCAUCUAGCGUCAGAUGGUUACCAUUCCUAAUUUUUAUGUAACUUAAUAAUUGUACGAUCACAGUUUUAUCUGUCAGCGGAAAAGACAGACACCGUUUCAGUAACGAAACAUUUAGUUCCUUUCUGAUCCUCCGUAGCUAGUUAAAUUUGCACCAGAUCGCAUAAACUUUGAAUUUGGAUCUAAUUGGAAUGAAUCUUAUCUAACAAGCAAAGACUACAGCACAAAUCGAAUGUUCAAGUUACGAAUGGACUUCAAUUAGUAUCUUCGGACUUUGUAUCUCGAGCUGAGCAUUUGACUUAUAACUUCUCCUGUCACAGACAUAAUAUGGCACUGUGAGUAUUACAGGACCUGUAGGAAACAAUUUCAUAGGCUGUACAAUGGACAUAAAGAGAAAAAUGCAGGGGAAAACAAAUAUGAAGAAGAAGCAAAAGGUCAAGUGGUGGCAAAAGUUAAGAGAUGCAAGAAGAUUACAAAGAAAAAUCAGUGAUAUGAGAAGACUAAAAAAAAAGAACGAUAACAAGAUUCUCAAUCUCAAUUAUGGCCUAAAAAAAAGAAGCAGAGGCAAACAAAGCUGAAAAAGUAGAAGAAAAUAGAAGCAUGAGAAAACCUCUUUGCACGUCUAUUAAAAAGUGUUUAUCAUUUAUCUUAAAUACUCACAAACAAUCGAGACCUUCAUCUUAAUUCAAAAUUACUAUUUUGACGAAAAACGUACUUUAUUUUCAUCCUGUAUUCGGUAAAAAUUAAAGGUUCUUCAAAACGUAAGAGCACCAUAUAAAAAGUGGCGUCUAAAUGUGUUAUAUUAAUUCUGCAGUACAACGUCUCGUCCGAGAUAGACUCCAACAAUAAGAGUAUCUUCAAUUACCUUCAUUUAAGUAUUCUCCGCUGAAGAUUAACGUAUGCGCAAUACGUAAGUCGCUCAAUUACCAGAAAGAGCUUCAGUUGAAGGAUAAAAUGUUCGGAGCA